AGGCAACAUGAUGUCUUUAGUUUGCAAUCCCACCCACCCGCGGCGCCACAUCAGCAAAUCCAGUCCUAAAACCGGUGUGAGGGCGAUUUCAACCGGGAUAAGAAAUGUCAGGGUAUGAACUUCAGGGAUUUAAAGAUCAGGGUUUAUUUACGUCGAGCCCUACACCAUCAGGGUUUGAAACAGACUUCACUCUUCAGGGUGAAUGUGUGGAUGCAUGCUACUCAAACCUCCAUUAACAAUAGGGUAGGUUGAUCGUCACGUUAACAUGACAUCUUGAUCGACUGGAAUAUAUCACAACAGCCUGUUCGCCUAGUUCGGCUGCGACGCCGACCACGGACGGAACCAGAAGGAGGCCAUCUCCCUCCAUGCCGUAAAAAACCCCUCAAACUAGCUAAGAGACUGUUCGAAAAUGCUUCAGCUCCUCCGAAGCCUUGACUACCGCGCGCUCCUCCAACUCUGAUCGAAGUAAAAGUUAUUAGUUCUACAAAAAAUUGUUCGACAUGUUGAGUAAUUAGGCAUAAUUUUCAUGAUUAAUUUCAGAAUAUAAAGCAUGACGAUACUAGCUACUAAUAUGUGAAACUCUAACAUACUAGAUGCAGUAGACAACAUGAAUAGCAACAACACCGUAUAGCAAAACAUGUACGCAUCUAACAUGUUCAUCAGGUUAACGAAAACACAACGUACGUACCAAACGUUUGUAGAUGAAGCAGAUAUGUUUGAUGCAGCUACGUUGUUGACGAUGACGGGACGAAGUAGACGACACUUGAGGCGGCGGUACGCAGCACCGCCCGACUUGCUAGGUAGACGGCCCGUUGUGGAAGUAGCGAGCAGUCGCGCAGAACACUUUCCAAAAACCUAAUUCGCCCUCUCCCAUACAGGAUCACAAAGGCGACUGGUUCCGGAGACUUGCUCUCCCGUUCGCCCGUGGACGCCGGCGCUCGGGAUGAGGUAGACUACGAUGGCGGCUCAAGUUGUGAGACGAGGCAAAACCCUAGAUGUUU
Molecule: long non-coding RNA, 1001 nt
Filed under: Hordeum vulgare
Lineage: Eukaryota; Viridiplantae; Streptophyta; Magnoliopsida; Poales; Poaceae
Description: long non-coding RNA (HVUL_LNC008022)
Source: RNAcentral